Zea mays is the source of this 1985-nucleotide RNA transcript. It is a transcript of the gene named THO complex subunit 4, with no coding region annotated. NCBI's taxonomy places the organism in Eukaryota, Viridiplantae, Streptophyta, Magnoliopsida, Poales, Poaceae. The transcript is spliced from 6 exons. The record is from RefSeq and is marked validated.
CAAUUCCCCACCCCAAAGAGCUACCCUGACCAGAUUUGGCCGCUUCCUCCUCUGCCUCCCGCUAACCCUAGUCCAGCACCCCGAGAUCUGCUCCGCGCGAGCAGCCAUGGCGGAGACGCUCGACAUGACCCUCGAUGACAUCAUCAAGAACAACAAGAAGAGUAACCCCUCCUCCGGCGGGGCCCGCCGCAGCCGCGGCGGAUCCGCCCCUGGCGGCGGCAGCGGCGGGGUCGGGCCGACCAGGCGCUCCUUCAAGAGGGCUGGGAACAGGCAGGCGCCCUACCAGCCGCCGAAGGCCCCUGACGCUGCGUGGCAGCACGACAUGUACCCUGCGGUCGCCGCAGGAGGCGGCGGCGGCGGGAGGGUCUCGGCGCUCGAGACGGGCACCAAGCUCUACAUCUCCAACCUGGACUUUGGGGUUUCGAACGACGAUAUCAAGGAGCUGUUCUCUGAGCUAGGUGAUCUGAAGCGUUUUUCGAUAAUAUAUGAUCGAAGUGGGAGGUCUAAGGGAACAGCUGAAGUUGUAUUUGCAAGGCGUUCUGAUGCUGUAGCGGCGGUGAAGAAAUAUAACAAUGUCCAACUUGAUGGUAAGCCCAUGAAGAUAGAGAUAGUUGGGACCAAUACUCCAACUGCAUCUGCUGCUCUUCCAGUCUCCAAUGGUGGCCAUGCUAGGAAUGCUGUGAGGAGUGCACCGAGGGGUGCUGCCCCAGCAGGUGUGCCGCAGCGAAGACCUCAUCAGAGGGGUGGGAGGCGUAGUGGUGGAUCUGGGGGUGGUCGUCGUGGCAAGGAGCGCAGCAAGCCAAAGUCGGCUGAAGAACUCGACGCUGACUUGGAGAAGUAUCAUGCUGAUGCGAUGCAGACCAACUAAAUGUGUUCACAAAUUUGAUAUUCAACAUCAAAUAUCAAGCACAUUAGUCCUUCCAUUCCAGCUGUUUGUGCUACUAUGUUCAGGGGACAACAAACCUUAUGUUUGUGGGGGUAUUGCUUUACUGAAUUUUGUGGGUUUUGUUUACAAUAGAACUAGAGUUGGAUGAUGCUGAGUACUUCCAUGGAAAUUACUUGCUUGCCUUUAGUUUCUGUACCUAAUGCCGAGGAGACAAGAAUCAUCCAAGUUACUCGACAUGUGAAAGUUGAUGAUGUAUGAAGGUACCCACAUUUCCUUUGACCCCCCACCGUAUAAUAUAUCUUGGAGGUAAAAGAGACUGGGCUUCAGAUGUUCCUUGGUGAUCUAGUUGUGCGCUUUCGAUCUGGUAUUGCUCAGAUGUUUCUCCGCUGUAGGCUGGUUCAAGAUCAAGCCAUCUAAGGAGGAGGUGGCCUGUUCAUAUUGUGAAACAUCAUGAUGCUUAUUUUGGGCAUCUUAAGCUAUCUUCUCUGGCACAUCAAUGAUUUCAUGAGCUUCAAGGCCCCUUUAUUUUAAAAGUUGAUUCUUUGCAUAAUCCUCUCUGUGGGUGCCUACAAAGUUUAAAUGUGGACAUGGCUGUCACUAGUCUCAUUGAAGCAUCAUGGUGCAAAUCCUGCUUCAAGGUCUGCUAUUGAUAGCUUAGAGAUGGCUGUGAUGUCAAUGCCUCAGCAUUAAUUUGGACUUCUAGGCCUUCCUUGCGUAUUUAUGCUUUAUAUAAGCAUAUGGGGUAUGGUCGAUCUUGUCUAUUGCCCUUCGGAGUUCCUUUCAACUUCGCUUGAGCCUUUGAUGGCACAAUUGGAGUCAUGUGCCUCUGCUCAGAAAAUCAGUUUUUAACUGAAACCCUUCCCUUUUGCUUGCUUCCUUGCUUCGUCAAUGGUGAUACCAGCUAUUUUAGCAUCAAUCUUGGCGGUGUGAAUCCCAAGUGGCUGUGGUUUUAAUCUUCCUGGUUUUUUUUGGCACUGAUGAUAUUGAUAUAGCUAUGAUGUUAUUGAUAUAGUAUACUCCCUUCAUUCUUUUUUAUUUGUCGCUGUUUAGUUAAAAAAUGAACUAGCAGUCAACAAAUAUUAUCAUUUUAGGAAUUCAU